GGAGAGGUGGCCGAGUGGUCGAAGGCGCACGCCUGGAAAGUGUGUAGGCAGGGAACUGUCUCCAGGGUUCGAAUCCCUGUCUCUCCG
RNAcentral lists this transfer RNA (87 nucleotides) under Donghicola tyrosinivorans. It matches the Rfam family "tRNA". From Rfam's summary of the family: Transfer RNA (tRNA) molecules are approximately 80 nucleotides in length. Lineage: Bacteria; Pseudomonadati; Pseudomonadota; Alphaproteobacteria; Rhodobacterales; Roseobacteraceae. The record is from Rfam by way of RNAcentral.